Non-coding RNA from Aedes aegypti (yellow fever mosquito), 47 nucleotides. The record is from Rfam. NCBI's taxonomy places the organism in Eukaryota, Metazoa, Arthropoda, Insecta, Diptera, Culicidae.
CCAUCGGCCCUUUUCAGGGCCAUUUAGUGGAAAAGAGUUAAAAGAGU